AACGACUCUCGGCAACGGAUAUCUCGGCUCACGCAUCGAUGAAGAACGUAGCAAAAUGCGAUACUUGGUGUGAAUUGCAGAAUCCCGUGAACCAUCGAGUUUUUGAACGCAAGUUGCGCCCGAAGCCUUUUGGUUGAGGGCACGUCUGCCUGGGCGUCACAC
RNAcentral lists this ribosomal RNA (162 nucleotides) under Senecio doronicum. RNAcentral's name for it is "5.8S ribosomal RNA". It matches the Rfam family "5.8S ribosomal RNA". From Rfam's summary of the family: 5.8S ribosomal RNA (5.8S rRNA) is a component of the large subunit of the eukaryotic ribosome. Lineage: Eukaryota; Viridiplantae; Streptophyta; Magnoliopsida; Asterales; Asteraceae. The record is from RNAcentral. RNAcentral also lists the same sequence under 2 other names.